Molecule: ribosomal RNA, 253 nt
Filed under: uncultured bacterium
Lineage: Bacteria
Description: partial 16S ribosomal RNA
Rfam family: Bacterial small subunit ribosomal RNA
Source: RNAcentral
UACGUAGGUGGCAAGCGUUGUCCGGAUUUACUGGGUGUAAAGGGCGUGCAGCCGGAGAGACAAGUCAGAUGUGAAAUCCACGGGCUCAACCCGUGAACUGCAUUUGAAACUGUUUCCCUAGAGUGUCGGAGAGGUAAUCGGAAUUCCUUGUGUAGCGGUGAAAUGCGUAGAUAUAAGGAGGAACACCAGUGGCGAAGGCGGAUUACUGGACGAUAACUGACGGUGAGGCGCGAAAGCGUGGGGAGCAAACAGG